This is a long non-coding RNA of Magallana angulata, 807 nucleotides long. RefSeq lists it as uncharacterized. The record is from RefSeq and is a predicted model, not a curated record. The transcript has 3 exons. NCBI's taxonomy places the organism in Eukaryota, Metazoa, Mollusca, Bivalvia, Ostreida, Ostreidae.
UAAAAUGGACAAUUGAGAAGCAUUAAUAGCCUCUUCAACAAGGAGAUAAUGCAGGAACGAAGAACUCAUGUCAAGCAUUGAGAGCAUACAAAGUCAAAUAUUUCCGGUGAUUAGUUGCAUCCUCUGUUCGGUGAUUCGGGUGAAUGUUUUGACCAGCUGGACGAUGUGAACGCAAGAUAAAUAGAACAGACAUAAAGUACAGCCCAGUGAAAGGAACAAGUUCAUCGCAAGAAGAAGAAUUUUAAUGCUACCACUGUCCAGAACUACUAAGUCUGCUGUAGCCAUGAUGUGAUCAUAUGAGUGCUUCACCGGUCUGGACAAUGCUCGAAAGUCCCCCAAAAAGGCCUAUUUCCAUAAACUACGACUCGGGUUACAUCGACAACAGCCAAGGACACCCCUUUUUGAUUCGAAUGGACACAUCUCUACGACCCGACUAAACCUCUGCAGAACAAGACUUUUUAACUGUAAAGUAUUCUCAUUUCAAAAAACCUAUAAACUAUAAAAGUACUUUUUUGUUAUAUGAUCAAAUACCAGUAUAUUACAAUGUCUGUCUGUAAGCUAGAAUCUUAGAAAAUCACAUGGUUUUGACUUAUUUUAUGAUAUUUAAUGACCUUGCAGAUAUUAACUUUCAUUUUCUUAAGUAAUUUGUUAUAUUUGCAAAUAUUGCAUCAAAUAUUAGACUCCAUGUAACAUAUAUCCUCACACCUCCAAGUUGAUAAGUGUUUACUACUUUUUUUUCCAUUUUCUUUGUUUAAACAUUUAUUGAUAACUUAGUUUUUAUUUGCAGCAAUUUAUGAAAAAUUAAGA